AGAUGUAAGGGUGAUAUGGCUGUGACAUCUGUCACCCACUGAUCACCAGGAUUCAUUUGGCUGAUCUGACUGGCUAUACAAGUGCCUUCUUCCUCCCUCACCAUUCCAUGUGUGUCCCUCUGGAAGCUGCAUGCUCAGUCAAAAAGGACAACCUUCUCUGAUCGAGGAGGACUAUUUCCUAGGUCAAGGGUAUAUAUGUAGCAGCACUCUCCCAUGCUAGAACCUCCAAAGUUCCCAAACCUCUAUCCUUUAUACAUGGUACACCACCCAUACCAUACUCCUAACCCUCACUUAGACUAAAUAG
Molecule: small nuclear RNA, 304 nt
Filed under: Octodon degus (degu)
Lineage: Eukaryota; Metazoa; Chordata; Mammalia; Rodentia; Octodontidae
Description: 7SK RNA (ENSODEG00000023892.1)
Rfam family: 7SK RNA
About the family: 7SK was discovered as an abundant small nuclear RNA in the mid-70s but a possible function has only recently been suggested. Two independent studies have found that 7SK RNA binds the CDK9/cyclin T complex (known as elongation factor P-TEFb).
Source: RNAcentral